RNAcentral lists this ribosomal RNA (484 nucleotides) under uncultured bacterium. Its description in RNAcentral is "partial 16S ribosomal RNA". It matches the Rfam family "Bacterial small subunit ribosomal RNA", at positions 30 to 507 of the family's 1533-position model. The record is from RNAcentral.
AUUGAACGCUGGCGGCAGGCCUAACACAUGCAAGUCGAGCGGAUGAAGGGAGCUUGCUCCUGGAUUCAGCGGCGGACGGGUGAGUAAUGCCUAGGAAUCUGCCUGGUAGUGGGGGAUAACGUCCGGAAACGGGCGCUAAUACCGCAUACGUCCUGAGGGAGAAAGUGGGGGAUCUUCGGACCUCACGCUAUCAGAUGAGCCUAGGUCGGAUUAGCUAGUUGGUGGGGUAAAGGCCUACCAAGGCGACGAUCCGUAACUGGUCUGAGAGGAUGAUCAGUCACACUGGAAAUGAGACACGGUCCAGACUCCUACGGGAGGCAGCAGUGGGGAAUGUUAGACAAUGGGCGAAGGCCUGAUCCAGCCAUGCCGCGUGUGUGAAGAAGGUCUUCGGAUUGUAAAGCACUUUAAGUUGGGAGGAAGGGCAGUAAGUUAAUACCUUGCUGUUUUGACGUUACCAACAGAAUAAGCACCGGCUAACUUCGUG